Molecule: ribosomal RNA, 698 nt
Filed under: uncultured bacterium
Lineage: Bacteria
Description: bacterial SSU rRNA
Rfam family: Bacterial small subunit ribosomal RNA
Source: RNAcentral
GGAUACCCGAGGGAAACUUCGGUUAAUACGGUAUAAGACCACACUACCGCAUGGUAGAGGGGUAAAAGGGGCAACCUGGUAUGAGAUAGACUCGCGUCGCAUUAGCUAGUUGGUGAGGUAACGGCCCACCAAGGCGACGAUGCGUAGCCGACCUGAGAGGGUGAUCGGCCACAUUGGGACUGAGAUACGGCCCAGACUCCUACGGGAGGCAGCAGUGGGGAAUAUUGGGCAAUGGAGGAAACUCUGACCCAGCAAUGCCGCGUGAAUGAAGAAGGUCUUCGGAUUGUAAAGUUCUUUAGUCAGGGAAGAAGUCAAUGACGGUACCUGAAGAAUAAGCUCCGGCUAACUACGUGCCAGCAGCCGCGGUAAUACGUAGGGAGCAAGCGUUGUUCGGAAUGACUGGGCGUAAAGGGUGCGUAGGCGGUUGUACAAGUUAGAAGUGAAAUACCCAGGGCUUAACUCGGGUGCUGCUUCUAAAACUGUAUGACUUGAGUGCAGUAGAGGUUAGUGGAAUUCCUAGUGUAGCGGUGGAAUGCGUAGAUAUUAGGAGGAACACCAGAGGCGAAGGCGGCUAACUGGACUGCAACUGACGCUGAGGCACGAAAGUGUGGGGAGCAAACAGGAUUAGAUACCCUGGUAGUCCACACUGUAAACGAUGGAUACUAGAUGUAGGAGGUAUCGACUCCUUCUGCGUCGCA